RNAcentral lists this non-coding RNA (27 nucleotides) under Mus musculus (house mouse). The record is from RNAcentral. Lineage: Eukaryota; Metazoa; Chordata; Mammalia; Rodentia; Muridae.
UGUAAAUCAUAUCCAGCUGCCUCUGAC